CAUCAUUUGACGUUAGCGACAGAAGAAGCACCGGCUAACUCCGUGCCAGCAGCCGCGGUAAUACGGAGGGUGCGAGCGUUAAUCGGAAUUACUGGGCGUAAAGCGCAUGCAGGUGGUUCGUUAAGUCAGAUGUGAAAGCCCGGGGCUCAACCUCGGAACUGCAUUUGAAACUGGCGGACUAGAGUACUGUAGAGGGGGGUAGAAUUUCAGGUGUAGCGGUGAAAUGCGUAGAGAUCUGAAGGAAUACCGGUGGCGAAGGCGGCCCCCUGGACAGAUACUGACACUCAGAUGCGAAAGCGUGGGGAGCAAACAGGAUUAGAUACCCUGGUAGUCCACGCCGUAAACGAUGUCUACUUGGAGGUUGUGGCCUUGAGCCGUGGCUUUCGGAGCUAACGCGUUAAGUAGACCGCCUGGGGAGUACGGUCGCAAGAUUAAAACUCAAAUGAAUUGACGGGGGCCCGCACAAGCGGUGGAGCAUGUGGUUUAAUUCGAUGCAACGCGAAGAACCUUACCUACUCUUGACAUCCAGAGAAUCCAGCGGAGACGCAGGAGUGCCUUCGGGAGCUCUGAGACAGGUGCUGCAUGGCUGUCGUCAGCUCGUGUUGUGAAAUGUUGGGUUAAGUCCCGCAACGAGCGCAACCCUUAUCCUUGUUUGCCAGCGAGUAAUGUCGGGAACUCCAGGGAGACUGCCGGUGAUAAACCGGAGGAAGGUGGGGACGACGUCAAGUCAUCAUGGCCCUUACGAGUAGGGCUACACACGUGCUACAAUGGCGCAUACAGAGGGCAGCCAACUUGCGAAAGUGAGCGAAUCCCAAAAAGUGCGUCGUAGUCCGGAUUGGAGUCUGCAACUCGACUCCAUGAAGUCGGAAUCGCUAGUAAUCGUGGAUCAGAAUGCCACGGUGAAUACGUUCCCGGGCCUUGUACACACCGCCCGUCACACCAUGGGAGUGGGCUGCAAAAGAAGUGGGUAGUUUAACCUUUCGGGGAGGACGCUCACCACUUUGUGGUUCAUGACUGGGGUGAAGUCGUAACAAGGUAGCGCUAGGGGAACCUGGCGCUGGAUCACCUCCUUA
This 1073-nucleotide ribosomal RNA is filed under the name Vibrio aestuarianus. RNAcentral's name for it is "bacterial SSU rRNA". It matches the Rfam family "Bacterial small subunit ribosomal RNA", at positions 463 to 1533 of the family's 1533-position model. The record is from RNAcentral. Lineage: Bacteria; Pseudomonadati; Pseudomonadota; Gammaproteobacteria; Vibrionales; Vibrionaceae.